AUUGAACGCUGGCGGAAUGCUAUACACAUGCAAGCCGAACGGUAGAGGGGGCAACCCCUCGAGAGUGGCGAACGGGUGAGUAAUAUAUCGGAACGCGCCCAGUCGUGGGGGUUAAGGGAGCGAAAGAUACGCGAAGACCGCAAACGACCUACGGAUGAAAGCGGGGGAUCGAAAGGCCCCGCGCGACUGUAGCGGACGAUAUCGGAUUAGGUAGUUGGUGGGGUAAAGGCUCACCAAGCCAACGAUCUGUAGCUGGUCUGAGAGGACGACCAGCCACACUGGAACUGAGACACGGUCCAGACUCCUACGGGAGGCAGCAGUGGGGAAUUUUGCACAAUGGGCGCAAGUCUGAUCCAGCCAUUCCGCGUGCAGGAUGAAGGCCCUCGGGUUGUAAACUGCUUUUGUCCGGAACGAAAAGGUUUCCAUUAAUACUGGGAGCUCAUGACGGUACCGUAAGAAUAAGCACCGGCUAACUACGUGCCAGCAGCCGCCGUAA
Molecule: ribosomal RNA, 496 nt
Filed under: uncultured bacterium
Lineage: Bacteria
Description: partial 16S ribosomal RNA
Rfam family: Bacterial small subunit ribosomal RNA
Source: RNAcentral